CUGCGAUAAGCGUCGGUAAGGUGAUAUGAACCGUUAUAACCGGCGAUUUCCGAAUGGGGAAACCCAGUGUGAUUCGUCACACUAUCAUUAACUGAAUCCAUAGGUUAAUGAGGCGAACCGGGGGAACUGAAACAUCUAAGUACCCCGAGGAAAAGAAAUCAACCGAGAUUCCCCCAGUAGCGGCGAGCGAACGGGGAGCAGCCCAGAGCCUGAAUCAGUGUGUGUGUUAGUGGAAGCGUCUGGAAAGGCGCGCGAUACAGGGUGACAGCCCCGUACACAAAAAUGCACAUGCUGUGAGCUCGAUGAGUAGGGCGGGACACGUGGUAUCCUGUCUGAAUAUGGGGGGACCAUCCUCCAAGGCUAAAUACUCCUGACUGACCGAUAGUGAACCAGUACCGUGAGGGAAAGGCGAAAAGAACCCCGGCGAGGGGAGUGAAAAAGAACCUGAAACCGUGUACGUACAAGCAGUGGGAGCACGCUUAGGCGUGUGACUGCGUACCUUUUGUAUAAUGGGUCAGCGACUUAUAUUCUGUAGCAAGGUUAACCGAAUAGGGGAGCCGAAGGGAAACCGAGUCUUAACUGGGCGUUAAGUUGCAGGGUAUAGACCCGAAACCCGGUGAUCUAGCCAUGGGCAGGUUGAAGGUUGGGUAACACUAACUGGAGGACCGAACCGACUAAUGUUGAAAAAUUAGCGGAUGACUUGUGGCUGGGGGUGAAAGGCCAAUCAAACCGGGAGAUAGCUGGUUCUCCCCGAAAGCUAUUUAGGUAGCGCCUCGUGAAUUCAUCUCCGGGGGUAGAGCACUGUUUCGGCAAGGGGGUCAUCCCGA
This 827-nucleotide ribosomal RNA is filed under the name Escherichia coli. Its description in RNAcentral is "partial 23S ribosomal RNA". It matches the Rfam family "Bacterial large subunit ribosomal RNA", at positions 66 to 934 of the family's 2925-position model. Lineage: Bacteria; Pseudomonadati; Pseudomonadota; Gammaproteobacteria; Enterobacterales; Enterobacteriaceae. The record is from RNAcentral.